This 483-nucleotide ribosomal RNA is filed under the name uncultured bacterium. RNAcentral describes it as "partial 16S ribosomal RNA". It matches the Rfam family "Bacterial small subunit ribosomal RNA", at positions 29 to 506 of the family's 1533-position model. The record is from RNAcentral.
AUUGAACGCUAGCGGGAUGCUUUACACAUGCAAGUCGAACGGCAGCGCGGACUUCGGUCUGGCGGCGAGUGGCGAACGGGUGAGUAAUGUAUCGGAACGUGCCCAGUAGCGGGGGAUAACUACGCGAAAGCGUAGCUAAUACCGCAUACGCCCUACGGGGGAAAGCAGGGGAUCGUAAGACCUUGCACUAUUGGAGCGGCCGAUAUCGGAUUAGCUAGUUGGUGAGGUAACGGCUCACCAAGGCGACGAUCCGGAGCGGGUUUGAGGGGACGACCAGCCAACCGGGAAGUGGAAACCGGCCCAGCCCCCGAGGGGAGGCAGGAGGGGGGAAUUUUGGAAAAGGGGGGCAACCCUUACCCAGCCACCCCGGGGGGGCGAUGAAGGCCUUCGGGUUUUAAAGCAUUUUUGGCGGGAAAGAAACGUCGCGGGCUAAACCCCCGUGGAACUGAGGGUACCGGCAAAAAAAGCCCCGGCCAACCACGU